Molecule: long non-coding RNA, 369 nt
Filed under: Medicago truncatula (barrel medic)
Lineage: Eukaryota; Viridiplantae; Streptophyta; Magnoliopsida; Fabales; Fabaceae
Description: long non-coding RNA (MTRU_LNC007357)
Source: RNAcentral
CCGGAGCGGCGAAGCUCGCCGGAGAAGAUGAAGAUUCAUCUUCCUCCUUCGGUUUUCCGGAAAAGGUUCUAUAGAGAUAAGGGAGAGCUUCUCUCUCUAAGUUUAACUUAGAGAGAGAAAUGUUUUGAUUUGUAUGUGUUUUUUAGCUGUCUUUCCACUUAUAUACUCCCCUUGGUUUUCGAAAUCUUGUGCGUGCGUUUUAAUGCGAUCUACCCUACGACUUGGUUUUUGGACCGUUAGAUCGUAAAUCUGACGGUAUCUGCUUCACUACCUUUUUUCAGUGUUUACUUUACGUGUUUUUUUUAACUGUUGGAUCUCAGAUCCUGUGGCUGUGAUGAUACUUCCUGUGAUUAGAUCUAGACCUUCUGU